This 86-nucleotide transfer RNA is filed under the name Terriglobia bacterium. RNAcentral describes it as "tRNA-Ser". It matches the Rfam family "tRNA". From Rfam's summary of the family: Transfer RNA (tRNA) molecules are approximately 80 nucleotides in length. The record is from RNAcentral. Lineage: Bacteria; Pseudomonadati; Acidobacteriota; Terriglobia. RNAcentral also lists the same sequence under 1 other name.
GGAGGGGUGGCCGAGCGGUUGAAGGCGCCGGUCUUGAAAACCGGAAGGCGAAAGCCUCGCGGGUUCGAAUCCCGCCCCCUCCGCCA